This 189-nucleotide ribosomal RNA is filed under the name uncultured bacterium. RNAcentral's name for it is "partial 16S ribosomal RNA". It matches the Rfam family "Bacterial small subunit ribosomal RNA", at positions 1304 to 1500 of the family's 1533-position model. The record is from RNAcentral.
UCUGCAACUCGACUCCAUGAAGCUGGAUUCGCUAGUAAUCGCGCAUCAGCCAUGGCGCGGUGAAUACGUUCCCGGGCCUUGUACACACCGCCCGUCAAGCCAUGGAAGCCGGGGGUGCCUGAAGUGCGUGACCGCAAGGAGCGCCCUAAGGUAAAACCGGUGACUGGGGCUAAGUCGUAACAAGGUAAC